GUUGGCCGUUACCUCCAGCUGAUGAGCUCCAAAAAGAGUGAAACCAUUUAGGUCCUGUAAUACUGACCUAUAAGUGU
Molecule: non-coding RNA, 77 nt
Organism: Patagioenas fasciata monilis
Lineage: Eukaryota; Metazoa; Chordata; Aves; Columbiformes; Columbidae
Source: Rfam